UGACAUAUACCCUACAUCCGCCAGGGAACUACAAACAUUAGUUUAAAACCCAAAGGACUUGGCGGUGCUUUAGAACCCCCUAGAGGAGCCUGUUCUGGAACUGAUAACCCCCGUUAAACCUCACCCUCUCUUGCUAAUAACCGCCUAUAUACCGCCGUCGUCAGCUUACCCUGUGAAGGUACGAUAGUGAGCAAGAUUAGUACAACUCAAAACGCCAGGUCGAGGUGUAGUAUAUGGGAGGGGAAGAAAUGGGCUACAUUCGUGUACUCACGAACUACGAACAACUUAUUGAAAUGUAAGUUUGAAGGUGGAUUUAGCAGUAAGGGGGAAAUAGAGAGUCCCCUUGAAACUGGCCCUGAAGCGCG
This 365-nucleotide ribosomal RNA is filed under the name Haliichthys taeniophorus. RNAcentral's name for it is "partial 12S ribosomal RNA". It matches the Rfam family "Bacterial small subunit ribosomal RNA", at positions 875 to 1383 of the family's 1533-position model. Lineage: Eukaryota; Metazoa; Chordata; Actinopteri; Syngnathiformes; Syngnathidae. The record is from RNAcentral.